Molecule: ribosomal RNA, 460 nt
Filed under: uncultured bacterium
Lineage: Bacteria
Description: partial 16S ribosomal RNA
Rfam family: Bacterial small subunit ribosomal RNA
Source: RNAcentral
CCUACGGGGGGCAGCAGUGAGGAAUAUUGGUCAAUGGGCGUAAGCCUGAACCAGCCAAGUCGCGUGAGGGAUGAAGGUUCUAUGGAUCGUAAACCUCUUUUAUAAGGGAAUAAAGUGGGGGACGUGUCCUAUUUUGUAUGUACCGUACGAAUAAGGAGCGGCUAACUCCGUGCCAGCAGCCGCGGGAAUACGGAGGAUACGAGCGUUAUUCGGAUUUAAUGGGUUUCAAGUGUGCCGAGGCUGCCUUAUAAGUUAGGUGUGAAAAUCUGGGGCUCAACCCUAGCAUUGCCGUGGAAACUGGAGAGCUUGAGUAUGAAUGAGGCAGGCGGAAUGCGUGGUGUAGCGGUGAAAUGCUUAGAUAUCACGCAGAACCCCGAUGGCGAAGGCAGCCUGCCAGGCCAUGACUGACGCUGAUGCACGAAAGCGUGGGGAUCAAACAGGAUUAGAUACCCGAGUAGUC